UAUUGCGCAAUGGGGGAAACCCUGACGCAGCAACGCCGCGUGGGUGAUGAAGGUCUUCGGAUUGUAAAGCCCUGUUUUCUGGGACGAUAAUGACGGUACCAGAGGAGGAAGCCACGGCUAACUACGUGCCAGCAGCCGCGGUAAUACGUAGGUGGCGAGCGUUGUCCGGAUUUACUGGGCGUAAAGGGUGCGUAGGCGGAUGUUUAAGUGGGAUGUGAAAUCCCCGGGCUUAACCUGGGGGCUGCAUUCCAAACUGGAUAUCUAGAGUGCAGGAGAGGAAAGCGGAAUUCCUAGUGUAGCGGUGAAAUGCGUAGAGAUUAGGAAGAACACCAGUGGCGAAGGCGGCUUUCUGGACUGUAACUGACGCUGAGGCACGAAAGCGUGGGUAGCAAACAGGAUUAGAUACCCUGGUAGUCCACGCCGUAAACGAUGGAUACUAGGUGUAGGGGGUAUCAACUCCCCCUGUGCCGCAGUUAACACAAUAAGUAUCCCGCCUGGGGAGUACGGUCGCAAGAUUAAAACUCAAAGGAAUUGACGGGGGCCCCGCACAAGA
Molecule: ribosomal RNA, 553 nt
Filed under: Clostridium sp.
Lineage: Bacteria; Bacillati; Bacillota; Clostridia; Eubacteriales; Clostridiaceae
Description: bacterial SSU rRNA
Rfam family: Bacterial small subunit ribosomal RNA
Source: RNAcentral